Molecule: ribosomal RNA, 253 nt
Filed under: uncultured bacterium
Lineage: Bacteria
Description: partial 16S ribosomal RNA
Rfam family: Bacterial small subunit ribosomal RNA
Source: RNAcentral
UACGUAGGUGGCAAGCGUUGUCCGGAUUUACUGGGCGUAAAGGGCGUGCAGGCGGUUUGUUAAGUGCAGGGUGAAAGCUCCCGGCUCAACUGGGAGAGGUCCUUGCAUACUGGCAAACUCGAGGGAGGCAGAGGAAAGUGGAAUUCCCGGUGUAGUGGUGAUAUGCGUAGAUAUCGGGAGGAACACCUGUGGCGAAGGCGGCUUUCCGGGCCUUACCUGACGCUGAGACGCGAAAGCGUGGGGAGCGAACCGG